Molecule: long non-coding RNA, 1356 nt
Filed under: Sus scrofa (pig)
Lineage: Eukaryota; Metazoa; Chordata; Mammalia; Artiodactyla; Suidae
Description: lncRNA (ENSSSCG00070006592.1)
Source: RNAcentral
GAAUUUUAAAAAGUGGAAACAGAGAGAAGAAGGGAAUUUAACCCCCAGGGAAAUUUUCUGCACCGUAAAAUCAGACACAGCUUUAAAAUUCAAUGUUUUCUUUCUCUGAAGAUACCCAGGACAGUUUGUCUCUGUUGUUUUUCAUCAUAUAAAUUGCUUUGCUCGAAAGGCAAGUGGGAGUAAAUAUAGCAGCAGUAUCUCUGAUGUAACAUUUACUGACCUGGCCUGGACAUGUCCUUGACACUGUCCUUUAGAAAGGAAAGAGAAGGAGAGAAACUAUGUUCCUGCUGCUGUGUGUAGGAGAAAUGCCUAUUCCUGGCCAUUAUCAGGGUUCAGGGGACUGAGGGCUGAUGAGUACAGAGAAUAAAAAUAAAGAAGUAAAAGAUGGUAGUGACUUAUCAGCUUUCCUGCAUUUGGCUGUCCCUGGCAGGUGGGCCAGAGCCAGGGCCAGUCAACAGCAGUAUUUACUGAGGUGGAGGUGGCCAGAUGCUCCUGCUGGAAACCACGAGGGGUUCAAGUUCCAGACCAGUUGCAUUUUGAAAAGUGUCCUGCCUAAAAUGUUUUGGAACAACACUCUACCUGAGAGCUGUGCCCAGGAGUUUGGGGCAGUGAUGUGCAAUGAAGUGAAAGGGAUCCACGAUGGAGCAAAUGGCUGGUGAAGAACCAAGGAUGCAGCGGGGACCUGGGAAGAAUGUGUGAUUUCAACGAGGAGGAGGACAACACAGAGGGACCCACACCAGUCCUUCUCUCCUUGCUCCACUUACACCAGAGUAGGAGAGGAUCAAGAUAGUCCUAACUAAUUGUGAUAAUCCCUGUACUUUUGGUGGGUGUUAAAAUCAUGUAUGGGCUACCACUUGUUAUUACCUUGGUAAGGGGUCCUAAGGGGGUGGAAGAUGAUUAUUUGUUCUUCAACUGCCUUUCUUCACCCUAAAAUAGCUUUGCACAUCAUGACUGUAUACAGAGAUUUGGAGGCAUUAACUCAAAUAAUUGUGAUAAUAUUUUUACAAACUGAAAAAUGUCUGAACUUCAUGAUCCGAGGAGUAAAGGACUUCUGAGAUAAAAAUGUGUAAAAUCUGGAGUUCCCGUCGUGGCGCAGUGGUUAACGAAUCCGACGAGGAACCAUGAGGUUGCGGGUUCGGUCCCUGCCCUUGCUCAGUGGGUUAACGAUCACUGCAUUGCAGUGAGCUGUUGCAGACGCGGCUCGGAUCCCGCCUUGCUGUGGCUCUGGUGUAGGCCUGCGGCUACAGCUCCAAUUCGACCCCUAGCCUGGGAACCUCCAUAUGCCUCGGGAGCAGCCCAAAGAAAUAGCAAAAAGCCAAAAAUAAAUAAAUAAAUAAAAAUUUUUUAAAAAUGUGU